CGAUGUCGACAGCCGUUGGGUGCCUAGCGCACUUUGUGGCGAAGUUAACGCGAUAAGUCGACCGCCUGGGGAGUACGGCCGCAAGGUUAAAACUCAAAUGAAUUGACGGGGGCCCGCACAAGCGGUGGAGCAUGUGGUUUAAUUCGAUGCAACGCGAAGAACCUUACCUACUCUUGACAUCCUGCGAAUUCGGUAGAGAUACCUUAGUGCCUUCGGGAACGCAGAGACAGGUGCUGCAUGGCUGUCGUCAGCUCGUGUUGUGAAAUGUUGGGUUAAGUCCCGUAACGAGCGCAACCCUUGUCCUUAUUUGCCAGCGCGUAAUGGCGGGAACUCUAAGGAGACUGCCGGUGACAAACCGGAGGAAGGUGGGGACGACGUCAAGUCAUCAUGGCCCUUACGAGUAGGGCUACACACGUGCUACAAUGGUCGGUACAAAGGGUUGCGAGCUCGCGAGAGUCAGCCAAUCCCGAAAAGCCGAUCUCAGUCCGGAUCGGAGUCUGCAACUCGACUCCGUGAAGUCGGAAUCGCUAGUAAUCGUAGAUCAGAAUGCUACGGUGAAUACGUUCCCGGGCCUUGUACACACCGCCCGUCACACCAUGGGAGUGGACUGCACCAGAAGUGGUUAGCCUAACGCAAGAGGGCGAUCACCACGGUGUGGUUCAUGACUGGGGUGAAUCUAAAAGG
This 684-nucleotide ribosomal RNA is filed under the name Vreelandella aquamarina. RNAcentral's name for it is "bacterial SSU rRNA". It matches the Rfam family "Bacterial small subunit ribosomal RNA", at positions 807 to 1496 of the family's 1533-position model. Lineage: Bacteria; Pseudomonadati; Pseudomonadota; Gammaproteobacteria; Oceanospirillales; Halomonadaceae. The record is from RNAcentral.